This 67-nucleotide transfer RNA is filed under the name Daktulosphaira vitifoliae (grape phylloxera). RNAcentral's name for it is "tRNA-Trp". Lineage: Eukaryota; Metazoa; Arthropoda; Insecta; Hemiptera; Phylloxeridae. The record is from RNAcentral.
AAGGUUUUAAGUUAAAUAUAAACUAUUAAUCUUCAAAAUUAAAUAUAAAAUAAUAUUUUAAACCUUA